Molecule: long non-coding RNA, 224 nt
Filed under: Elaeis guineensis (African oil palm)
Lineage: Eukaryota; Viridiplantae; Streptophyta; Magnoliopsida; Arecales; Arecaceae
Description: long non-coding RNA (EGUI_LNC013126)
Source: RNAcentral
CCCCGUAGGGGUCCGGGCGGAGCCCUCCUUGUGAUUGGGGUCGUAGGUGGAGCCCGGCUCCCGUGGGAGUCCGGGUGAAUCCCCUGCAAUCAAAAUCAGAUACAGAGUCUGGCUCCCGUAGGAGUCCGGACAUGGCUUACCAGCAGCUGACGUUGUGGACGGAGCCCGGCUCCCGUAGGGGUCCAGGCGGAAUCUUCCUUGCGAUGGGUGGAAAUUGUCGGCGG